Molecule: long non-coding RNA, 1172 nt
Filed under: Equus asinus (donkey)
Lineage: Eukaryota; Metazoa; Chordata; Mammalia; Perissodactyla; Equidae
Description: lncRNA (ENSEASG00005031936.1)
Source: RNAcentral
GCCCCCGGCGCCGCGGCCGCGGGGGGCGGGCGUCAAGCGGGUGCCCGGGGCCGCGGGGGUGGAGAGGAGCACGCGAGGCGCGGGGGCGUCCGGAGAGCGGGCGGGGGCAGGUCCCAGCGUCUCGGGGGGCCCGGGACUGGGCUCUGGGGGCCCAAGCUUUCCUGGACGCCCCAGGCCAUCAGCGGCGGGGGCGUGGCGGGGGACAGGCAGGAAGCCGGGCCUGGAGGCUGGCUUCUUUGCCGCGUGACCUUGGGGAGAGGCGCCUCCGGCCGCAGCUCCGCGGGUGUGUUUUUAUAACGUUUCCCAGCGUCGGCUCAGCUCCCUGCGAGCCGCGCCACGCCCCGUCCAGCCGGAGCCGAAGGAAUGACUGCCCCCGGGUCAGACACCGGGGCCCGCAAGGAGGAAGAGGCGGUUGGUUUCAAUACCGCGCAGCCGGCCCAGCCCAUGAGGCCUCGAGCAGCCUCAGUUUCCCUGUCCGUGGUGCUGAGGACGCCGGGGCCUGGAUGCGCGGGGCGGGCGGGGCGGCAUCCCGGUCGCUGCCCGGGACACUGGCCAAAGGGCACAGGGGGUGGAGCGGCGACAGGCAGGAGGGAUGAAGGAGAAGGAGGAAGCCGCCCUUGGAAGAUCCGCUGGGUCCUGGGAGGCUGUGGCCCGACUCUCCUCCCCCAGCCCCGCUGCCUGGGCCAAGGUGCUGUCCUCGGGGAGAUGCAAGGUGAAGACAACAGCAUCACGAGAAGGAGAGAGCCUGCAUCCCAGAAUUACCCAGUGGAGGAGAGAUGCCUGACCAGGAAUGUCUACAAGGAUUUUGUGUGAGCCAGAAGCAAAGCUUUAAGUGUUCAGCUGCUGAGACUGGGGGCUAUUUGUUAUAGCAGCUGGCCUAGCCUAACACAUCACUCCCUUCCUCUGUUGUAGUCACCCCGCAAACCCCCACAGGGGCGGGGGGAAACCAACUGGCUCCUUUUUACCUGCCCUUCUCAACUGCCCCUGAAAGUCUGGAGGAUAAGUGGUUCAACUGGUUUUCCCUUAAAUUCAUGACCAUGAGCCAAGUGGGUCCUCACACGGUCCUACUGCCUGUCCCAGUAGGUUGCUCUUUCUUGUCUGAGCUGACCAACUUUACCAUCUUAAACGUUUUUAAGUGUACUGUUCAGGAAUGUUAAGUACUUCUCAUUGUU